This 486-nucleotide ribosomal RNA is filed under the name uncultured bacterium. Its description in RNAcentral is "partial 16S ribosomal RNA". It matches the Rfam family "Bacterial small subunit ribosomal RNA", at positions 30 to 507 of the family's 1533-position model. The record is from RNAcentral.
AUUGAACGCUGGCGGCAUGCCUUACACAUGCAAGUCGAACGGCAGCACGGGUGCUUGCACCUGGUGGCGAGUGGCGAACGGGUGAGUAAUACAUCGGAACAUGUCCUGUAGUGGGGGAUAGCCCGGCGAAAGCCGGAUUAAUACCGCAUACGAUCUACGGAUGAAAGCGUGGGGCCUUCGGGCCUCGCGCUAUAGGGUUGGCCGAUGGCUGAUUAGCUAGUUGGUGGGGUAAAGGCCUACCAAGGCGACGAUCAGUAGAUGGUCUGAGAGGACGACCAGCCACACUGGGACUGAGACACGGCCCAGACUCCUACGGGAGGCAGCAGUGGGGAAUUUUGGACAAUGGGCGAAAGCCUGAUCCAGCAAUGCCGCGUGUGUGAAGAAGGCCUUCGGGUUGUAAAGCACUUUUGUCCGGAAAGAAAUCCUUGGCUCUAAUACAGUCGGGGGAUGACGGUACCGGAAGAAUAAGCACCGGCUAACUACGUG